AUGAUCUGGUCGCUGCAAGCGAUCGCUAACAGGGGAUCAUGGUGGGCGAGGUGGUCAGAGCUGCUGCCUCUCUUCAAUGGUGGCCGGAGUUCGUGGCAUCUCCGAGGAAGGUACAUAGGUCAAAGUUUCAUAACUACCUUAUCCCACACAAAUCGUUUACCUAUAAUGAUUCACUACCCUUAUGAAAAAGCAAUUACACCAGAGCGUUUCCGAGGGCGAAUCCACUUUGAAUGUGAUAAAUGUAUUGCUUGUGUUAGGAAAUCAUUGGGUUCGUGGCAUCUCCGUGGAGUCCCUGGUUCACGUCCGUCGCGACAGGACCUUUAUGCGCCUCACAAAGCCAAGCUAUGGCGAUGGUGCUCCUAA
This 363-nucleotide ribosomal RNA is filed under the name Triticum aestivum (bread wheat). Its description in RNAcentral is "partial small subunit ribosomal RNA". The record is from RNAcentral. Lineage: Eukaryota; Viridiplantae; Streptophyta; Magnoliopsida; Poales; Poaceae.